Long non-coding RNA from Eriocheir sinensis (Chinese mitten crab), 623 nucleotides. RefSeq lists it as uncharacterized. The record is from RefSeq and is a predicted model, not a curated record. NCBI's taxonomy places the organism in Eukaryota, Metazoa, Arthropoda, Malacostraca, Decapoda, Varunidae. The transcript has 5 exons.
UUUGCCGCGGGGAGCUGCACGUGUGGGCGGCGUUCAAAAAGAUUUACGUUUAUUUCACGUUCCUGACCUCGCCCGCCUAUAAAAGUCCUCGUUGCUCCAGGGCGUAGCUCCGUUACCCUGGGGGGCCUAUGGGGGUGCGGGGUACAGAUACCCAUCGCUCCGGGACACCUUGCCUCAGUGCUCAUCUCUGUCAAAUUAAAGACUCAAGAGCUGUGUGAAGCUGAGCAGCGUCUCCCUGGCCUGGGCGUGGAGUGAGCUGGUCCCCUCAUCACCAGCACCAUAGACCAGGGGAUGAGGUGCUACUGGGCAGACCAGAGGAUGUCCACUGUGCUGGUCACUCCGCACUCCUAUCAAGGCCGUGCUGGACAGGCUCAGUGACGACUCAGACACGUCAAAUAUCUUCCCUCAGAGGCACUGACAGGCUUCUACAGUGGUAGGGCUGAAGCGACACAUCCUGGUGGGGGGCACCUUUGACAGCCCAGAGCACACCUCCGCCCCCGCCAGCAACCUCAUCACCCGACUGCUAGUUCAGGACCCAGCGCAGUGGUCCAACCCAGAAGAGAUUGCUGCCACGAGUACCUGGCUAGUGCCCCCCCUGACCUUCAGCGACGACCCCGACCCCA